GGGCCGAUAGUUUAGGGGUAGAGCGUCACGUUCGCAACGUGGAAGUCGAGGGUUCGAUUCCCUCUCGGUCCA
RNAcentral lists this transfer RNA (72 nucleotides) under Candidatus Nitrosopelagicus brevis. Its description in RNAcentral is "tRNA-Ala(cgc)". It matches the Rfam family "tRNA". Rfam says of the family: Transfer RNA (tRNA) molecules are approximately 80 nucleotides in length. Their secondary structure includes four short double-helical elements and three loops (D, anti-codon, and T loops). Lineage: Archaea; Thermoproteati; Nitrososphaerota. RNAcentral also lists the same sequence under 2 other names. The record is from RNAcentral.